UACGUAGGGGGCAAGCGUUAUCCGGAUUUACUGGGUGUAAAGGGAGCGUAGACGGCAGAGCAAGUCUGAAGUGAAAGCUCGCGGCCCAACUGCGGGACUGCUUUGGAAACUGCCCGGCUAGAGUGCUGGAGAGGUAAGCGGAAUUCCUAGUGUAGCGGUGAAAUGCGUAGAUAUUAGGAGGAACACCAGUGGCGAAGGCGGCUUACUGGACAGUAACUGACGUUGAGGCUCGAAAGCGUGGGGAGCAAACAGG
This 253-nucleotide ribosomal RNA is filed under the name uncultured bacterium. Its description in RNAcentral is "partial 16S ribosomal RNA". It matches the Rfam family "Bacterial small subunit ribosomal RNA", at positions 524 to 776 of the family's 1533-position model. The record is from RNAcentral.